AUGGCGAUCUCCAAGAGCACCCAGCCCUCGCCGGUGGCCAUCUUCCUCUCAGGGGCGGCCUCAGCGACUGCGCUGCUCGUCUUCUUCUACACCGCCACCGCAGGCCCCGCGUGGCCCACGGCGACGACGGAGUUCACCCCUCAGGGAAGCCACGCGGUGGCUCGGCCGGCUUCCGCGCCGGCGACGAAGGCUUCUUCUCCUACCAAUGCGACGGGCGGCGGCGACGACGCGUUCGCGCGGAUGCUGCGGCGGGCGGCGAUGGAGGACCGGACGGUGAUCAUGACGUCGGUGAACGAGGCGUGGGCGGCGGAGGGGUCGCUGCUGGACUCCUUCCUCGAGAGCUUCCGCGUGGGGCUCAACAUCUCGCACCUGGUGAAGCACAUCGUGGUGGUGGCCAUGGACGAGGGCGCGCUCCGCCGGUGCCGCGCCGUGCACCCGCACUGCCACCUGCUGCUCCCGGACGUCCACGGCCUCGACCUCUCCGGCGCCAAGAGCUACAUGACCAAGGAGUACCUCGACCUCGUCUGGAGCAAGCUCCGGCUCCAGCACCGCGUCCUCCUCCUCGGCUACAACCUCCUCUUCACGGACGUGGACGUGGCGUGGUUCCGGGACCCGCGGGUGCACAUCACGGCGGCGGCGGACAUCACGACGUCGAGCGACUUCUACUUCGGCGACCCGGACGACCUGGGCAACUACCCCAACACGGGCUUCAUCUACUUCAAGGCCACGGCCCGCAACGCGCGCGCCAUGGCUUACUGGCACGCCGCCAGGGCGCGCUUCCCGGAGAACCACGACCAGUUCGUCUUCAACGAGAUCAAGCGGGAGCUGGCGGCGCCGCCCAUCGGCGUCCGGAUCAGGUUCGUCGACAGCAAGCACGUCAGCGGCUUCUGCCAGCUCGGGCGCGACCUGAACCGGAUCGCCACCGUGCACAUGACCUGCUGCAUCGGCCUGGAGAACAAGCUGCACGACCUCCGGCGCGUCGUCGAGGACUGGAGGCGCUACGUGUCGCGCCCGGAGUGGGAGCGCCGGGCCGGCAAGAUCGGGUGGAGGUUCGAGGGAGGCAAGUGCAUACAUUGA
This 1077-nucleotide ribosomal RNA is filed under the name Triticum aestivum (bread wheat). Its description in RNAcentral is "partial small subunit ribosomal RNA". Lineage: Eukaryota; Viridiplantae; Streptophyta; Magnoliopsida; Poales; Poaceae. The record is from RNAcentral.